GGGGAUAUAGCUCAGUGAGUAGAGUAUGUGCCUUGCAUGCAUAAGGCCCUGGGUUCCAUCCCCACACCACCA
Molecule: transfer RNA, 72 nt
Filed under: Urocitellus parryii (Arctic ground squirrel)
Lineage: Eukaryota; Metazoa; Chordata; Mammalia; Rodentia; Sciuridae
Also listed under: 1 other name
Description: Spermophilus parryii (Arctic ground squirrel) tRNA
Rfam family: tRNA
About the family: Transfer RNA (tRNA) molecules are approximately 80 nucleotides in length. Their secondary structure includes four short double-helical elements and three loops (D, anti-codon, and T loops).
Source: Rfam by way of RNAcentral